Molecule: long non-coding RNA, 292 nt
Organism: Gossypium raimondii (Peruvian cotton)
Lineage: Eukaryota; Viridiplantae; Streptophyta; Magnoliopsida; Malvales; Malvaceae
Exons: 3
Source: RefSeq, a predicted model, not a curated record
GUGCCGACUUAAACGCCCCGAAUCAACAAUGAAUUCGAAAGACGUUCGCGUGUACGGUUCGCAUCAAACCAGUAUCAAGAAAGACGAGAAGUCAACCUUAAUCGAGGAAAAGAGAAGAUUGGGGAUUAAAUUGCAAAAUCUCUACAUUUUGUAUCGAGUGACAUCAAUCAGCUCGGAAAUUGGACGAAGUCAGAACAUCAUCCACAUUAUCAUCAUCAUCUUUUGGGUAUUUUGCAACCAAUACUUUUGAAAUAUGACAUGUAUAGAUGACUUAAUGUAAUGUGGUAUAUAU